This 432-nucleotide ribosomal RNA is filed under the name uncultured bacterium. RNAcentral describes it as "bacterial SSU rRNA". It matches the Rfam family "Bacterial small subunit ribosomal RNA", at positions 113 to 561 of the family's 1533-position model. The record is from RNAcentral.
ACGCGUGAGGAACCUGCCUCAAAGAGGGGGACAACAGUUGGAAACGACUGCUAAUACCGCAUAAGCCCACGGCUCGGCAUCGAGCAGAGGGAAAAGGAGCAAUCCGCUUUGAGAUGGCCUCGCGUCCGAUUAGCUAGUUGGUGAGGUAAUAGCCCACCAAGGCGACGAUCGGUAGCCGGACUGAGAGGUUGAACGGCCACAUUGGGACUGAGACACGGCCCAGACUCCUACGGGAGGCAGCAGUGGGGAAUAUUGCACAAUGGGGGAAACCCUGAUGCAGCGACGCCGCGUGGAGGAAGAAGGUCUUCGGAUUGUAAACUCCUGUUGUUGGGGAAGAUAAUGACGGUACCCAACAAGGAAGUGACGGCUAACUACGUGCCAGCAGCCGCGGUAAAACGUAGGUCACAAGCGUUGUCCGGAAUUACUGGGUGU